This 435-nucleotide ribosomal RNA is filed under the name uncultured Oscillospiraceae bacterium. RNAcentral's name for it is "bacterial SSU rRNA". It matches the Rfam family "Bacterial small subunit ribosomal RNA", at positions 341 to 792 of the family's 1533-position model. Lineage: Bacteria; Bacillati; Bacillota; Clostridia; Eubacteriales; Oscillospiraceae. The record is from RNAcentral.
ACGGAAGGCAGCAGUGGGGAAUAUUGGGCAAUGGGGGAAACCCUGACCCAGCCACGCCGCGUGAAGGAAGAAGGCCUUCGGGUUGUAAACUUCUUUUACCAGGGACGAAAUUUGACGGUACCUGGAGAAAAAGCAACGGCUAACUACGUGCCAGCAGCCGCGGUAAUACGCAGGUUGCAAGCGCUGUCCGGAUUUACUGGGUGUAAAGGGCGUGUAGGCGGAGCUGCAAGUCAGAUGUGAAAUCCCGGGGCUCAACCCCGGAACUGCAUUUGAAACUGUAGCCCUUGAGUAUCGGAGAGGCAAGCGGAAUGCCUAGUGUAGCGGUGAAAUGCGUAGAUAUUAGGAGGAACACCAGUGGCGAAGGCGGCUUGCUGGACGACAACUGACGCUGAGGCGCGAAAGCGUGGGGAGCAAACAGGAUUAGAUACCCUGGUA